This 388-nucleotide long non-coding RNA is filed under the name Capsella rubella. RNAcentral's name for it is "long non-coding RNA (CRUB_LNC000037)". Lineage: Eukaryota; Viridiplantae; Streptophyta; Magnoliopsida; Brassicales; Brassicaceae. The record is from RNAcentral.
GUUAGAAUAUGUUAUAAUACAAUAAAUAUGAUUAAUUAAAAGUAUUCGAGAUGCAUGAAAAGUGUUUAGAAGUGUGGAGAAAUACUUGUUGAAAUUGGGUCCAAAAUAUGCUAAGAACUCGGAAACAUUGCGUUGAAGCACUAAAUGACUUAUCUAGUGUUGUUUAGGGUUAGAUGCAUGAGUAGUGUUUAAAAGUGUGGAGAAAGACUUGUUGAAAUUGGGUCCAAAAUAUGCUAAGAACUCGGAAACAUUUAGUUGAACCACUAAAUGACUUAUCUAGUGUUGUUUGGGGUUAGAAUAUGUUAUAAUACAAUAAAUAUCAUUAAUUAAAAUUACUACAGAUGCAUGAAAAGUGUUUAGAAGUGUGGAGAAAUACUUGUUGAAAUUG